GCUUGCUUGGCUAAGUGGUACAGCGUCUCACUCGUAGAUUUUACAUCUAGCCAAUGAGAAGAUCGCAGGUUCGAUUCCUGCGUAAGUC
This 88-nucleotide transfer RNA is filed under the name Fonsecaea erecta. It matches the Rfam family "tRNA". Rfam says of the family: Transfer RNA (tRNA) molecules are approximately 80 nucleotides in length. The record is from Rfam by way of RNAcentral. Lineage: Eukaryota; Fungi; Ascomycota; Eurotiomycetes; Chaetothyriales; Herpotrichiellaceae.